Long non-coding RNA from Tachysurus fulvidraco (yellow catfish), 972 nucleotides. RefSeq lists it as uncharacterized. NCBI's taxonomy places the organism in Eukaryota, Metazoa, Chordata, Actinopteri, Siluriformes, Bagridae. The record is from RefSeq and is a predicted model, not a curated record. The transcript has 3 exons.
ACUCUGUGUGUGUGUGUGUGUGUGUGUGUGUGUGUGUGUGUGUGUGUGUGUGUGUAAGACAGAAUGUGAGUGUGAGAGAGGCAGAGAGAGAAAAUGCUUCACUAGAUGGUCUUUUGCGCUGUGACAUCAUAACUAAUGGACUUUCUGGAAUGAGGUCACACAACACGUCACUUUAUGGCUUGAACACACACACACACACACACACACACACACACACACACACACACCUCUAAGACUCCUCCAUGUGCAUUCUCUUGGUACAUAUUACACACAUCUGCCUUUUGUGCAUUUUUAUGACACUCCCAGUCCACCGUCAAAGAAAAAAAAAUCUAGUGAAAAUGACAUUUAUAUUUUAUUAUUUUUAAAACAAGUUUUUUUUUUCCCCCUCUUAAAGUCUGUGAUGGAACGAGUGUGUGUGUGUGUGUGUGUGUGUGUGUAAUUGUAAUGGGGGGUUUGCAGUAAGAUUAGAACCUGCUUUGUGAUUAUAAUGAUGUGUAAUAUUUUGGCAGGAUAAAUGACUCCUAAAUCCAUAUCUCAUGUUUAACUAAAUAAAUCCUCAGCACAGGAUUCUGCUUUAUCCAUGCAGAAGGUUCGGGAGACGCGGCUGAGCCUUCAGUCAUCGUCAUCGUCUGUGAUUCUGAGCUAUAAAAAACAGUUUUGUAAUUUUCUAUAAAACAGGUUCUCAAAGUGAGAUCCAGGGACAUUCUGGGCUCCGAGAGACAAAGCUAGCAGAUUUUUUUUUUUUCUUUGUUUAAGCUAAAGAUGUAUUCUGUUUAGAAUUUGUCCUUCUGUCUGAAUAAUGACUUUAAUUUAAGUAAAUUCAGUCUCAUGAAAAGUUAGAAGUGAAUAAACAUGUUGUGUCUGUGGAAGGUUCAGGAAUGAAAAGCUCUAUGGCUGCAGUUAACAGCCAAAAAUAUUACGGUACACGUUUAAAUAAUGAGCCUGAUUUAAGUAAUAAAAAAUAAAUCUGUA